Molecule: ribosomal RNA, 491 nt
Filed under: uncultured bacterium
Lineage: Bacteria
Description: partial 16S ribosomal RNA
Rfam family: Bacterial small subunit ribosomal RNA
Source: RNAcentral
GUGAACGCUGGCGGGCGGCCUCACACAUGCCAGUCGAACGGCAGCACAGUAAGAGCUUGCUCUUACGGGUGGCGAGUGGCGGACGGGUGAGGAAUACAUCGGAAUCUACUUUUUCGUGGGGGAUAACGUAGGGAAACUUACGCUAAUACCGCAUACGACCUACGGGUGAAAGCAGGGGAUCUUCGGACCUUGCGCGAUUGAAUGAGCCGAUGUCGGAUUAGCUAGUUGGCGGGGUAAAGGCCCACCAAGGCGACGAUCCGUAGCUGGUCUGAGAGGAUGAUCAGCCACACUGGAACUGAGACACGGUCCAGACUCCUACGGGAGGCAGCAGUGGGGAAUAUUGGACAAUGGGCGCAAGCCUGAUCCAGCCAUACCGCGUGGGUGAAGAAGGCCUUCGGGUUGUAAAGCCCUUUUGUUGGGAAAGAAAAGCAGCAGGUUAAUACCCCGCUGUUCUGACGGUACCCAAAGAAUAAGCACCGGCUAACUUCGUG